This 497-nucleotide ribosomal RNA is filed under the name uncultured bacterium. Its description in RNAcentral is "partial 16S ribosomal RNA". It matches the Rfam family "Bacterial small subunit ribosomal RNA", at positions 28 to 507 of the family's 1533-position model. The record is from RNAcentral.
GAUGAACGCUGGCGGCGUGCCUAAUACAUGCAAGUCGAGCGAACGGACGAGAAGCUUGCUUCUCUGAUGUUAGCGGCGGACGGGUGAGUAACACGUGGAUAACCUACCUAUAAGACUGGGAUAACUUCGGGAAACCGGAGCUAAUACCGGAUAAUAUUUUGAACCGCAUGGUUCAAAAGUGAAAGACGGUCUUGCUGUCACUUAUAGAUGGAUCGGCGCUGCAUUAGCUAGUUGGUAAGGUAACGGCUUACCAAGGCAACGAUGCAUAGCCGACCUGAGAGGGUGAUCGGCCACACUGGAACUGAGACACGGUCCAGACUCCUACGGGAGGCAGCAGUAGGGAAUCUUCCGCAAUGGGCGAAAGCCUGACGGAGCAACGCCGCGUGAGUGAUGAAGGUCUUCGGAUCGUAAAACUCUGUUAUUAGGGAAGAACAUAUGUGUAAGUAACUGUGCACAUCUUGACGGUACCUAAUCAGAAAGCCACGGCUAACUACGUG